UAUUCGGCGAGUAGGUUGGUUUCCUGUCACAAGGGCGUGCGCUCUGUGCUAAGCGCGGAAUUCGCGGCGACCAAAGGGAAUAACAGCUGUACCCUCAAGGAGCUUACAUGAAGUUAUACACAACAAACAAUUGCUAACGCCCUAUAAAGUCAAAAUAUGACUGGUGUUUAAAGAUGAGUAAAAACUUCCUUAGGGACCAAACCAGCAAGUAGACUCAGCUUUGGGAGCCAUUACCCUGGUCCACCUUGAUGUGUCAGCACAACAGAGAGCAGCUUACUUCAUACCCAGCCCUGUAAUGCUUGAGUCACUCAAAUGGUGGUAAAGAGGCAAACUAGAUUGUUUCUAAUCGGUGUGGGAACUGAGGAAUGCAGAAUGGGAAGAAUACUGAGGCUACUUGGGGAUGCCUCUCCCAGUGCUCCUUCAGGAUGCUGCUUCCAUCUGUGUUAAGCCCUGGGUUAACUCUGCAGAGAGGCCCCCAGUCACACAGGUUCCUUCUGACCCAGAGUGACCCCCCUGUGGACGACUGCCGAGUGAGAGCAUGUAUGAUUACCAGAGGUUGCCCAAGCUCCAAAGGAAGCACUCCAUGAUCAACAACCCCGACACUACGUGGAAAUGGACACGACUGAUGAAUGUGAAAAGGAAUCAUUGAAAUGGAAAAUCCUGGAGCUGAAAGUGGCUGUAUCCAACUCUACUCUGUGAAUUUUGUAUUUUUUCUUUUAUUUAUUCAUCAUCUCGACAGACAUUUUUUGCGAAUAUACUACAUGCAAAGCACUACAUUAGGUGCUAGGAAAAGAACUGUGAACAAGGGAAGAGGCCAUGUGAGGACACAGUGAGAAGGCAGCCAUAUACAAGCCUGGAAGAGAGGCUUCACCAGGAAUCAACCCAGAUGGCACCUUGAUCUUGGACUUCUAGCUUCCUGAACUUGUUUGCAGUAGUUUCUCAGGGCAGACAGCUGAGGAUCUAGACAGAUGACCUGGUCCUGUGUGCCUCAUCCACUUCACUCGCAUUUGAGAAGGCCUUUGCAAGUCACAAAGAACUGUUCUGAUGUGAGGAUUUUGUGGUUUUGGUUCCAAGGCACCAGGCUCCUACCUGCACCCAGGCCACAGGUUCACCUUCAGCUGUCACAGAGCCCGGAGCGCUGUUGUGUCUGGAGGAAAAGGAGCUUUUAUUCUUGUGCCCCAAUGCUGCACAUCCCUUCCCGUCGGGUCCUUCCUCAAGAAAAGAGCACUCUUGGCUCCUUAAGUGAGGCUCACAGGCCGAAGUGCCCACAGGACCAGUCAGGGGAGGUCUGUGUGUGAGCCAACCACCUGGCAAAGCAGAGCACUCUUGUUCCAGCUGAAAGGCCAGGAGCCAGCAACUCGGCGAAGUGUGGCCAGGGGGAACAUGGGCCUGGAGUGGCCAGAUCUUCAGACUUUUCAGGAGAACCCGGGAAUCCAGAUUUCAGCUUUUGAUUUUAAAAUUCUUCAGGUGGUGUCUCAAUCUGUAGCAAAGAAGGCCACAAGGCUCCAGGCCUGCACACCUUUACUGGUGGAAAUUAAGCAUCUUCAGAUUAUUUUCCUUUAGCUUCCCGAAGACCAGUCCUCAUGAAGAAAGUGAGGGAAUACUCAUCCUUACUCCCCUCCCACUUCUGUCAGAGGGAACAAUAUUUCCCAAAGUCUGGAAUUCAGACUAGUGCUGAAUAUGUAAGACCAGAGCUACACGAGAGCUCACACCUGCCUUGCACACAGUUGUAUCCUCAGUGCUCCUGCUUCACAGCAGAUGCUCACUGAAAGCAUCCUGACUGAUAAGAGUGGUUAAACUGGUUUCUUCAGUCAGUGAGGAGGGAAUUGGCUCCUGGCUUCACCACAGGAAUUAUACGUCCUCUUCAAAGCUGCUUCCUCCUCUGUGAGAUGCAGACUGCAGGCUCUUGGAGGGUAGGAACCAAAUCCAGCUCUUCUCUUAUGUCUGCAGAAGCAUCAGCCCCAGCUGGAGACGUGCUGUAGCGGUGCACCACAGAUGCUAACUGAAUUGAGGAGGCUGCAUGGAACAGCAAGGAACAGCCUUGCGCUAAGGAAACCAGGUUAUGCAGUCAACAGUUUUGACAGCUACAAAGGGACCCAGGGCAGACUUUUCUCCUUUGCCUGAACUCUUCAAGGAUCCAGAGCCUAGGUACCAGCAGAGCAUUCUUGGGCCCGUCUGCCUGCCACCUCAGAGAGUCCAGAUGAAUUUGGACUGGUUGCUGCACUCUCCUCCGAGGCUCUGAAGCUCCCCCCCCUGUCCAGGCUGAUCUCCCCACAGCUAACUCUGGGAUGCUUCAAAGAAACCCUGCGACAUCUCAGAAAGAAAUGUUAGAUUAAUUAGGCUUACUUGAGAAGCACUGUCAAGUGAUUGGAGAUAAACCUUCUUAGGUUAUAUUGUAUGGGUAAAUGUCAUUAAUAUAGAUAUUCCAAAAUUUAUAUGGAAUUACUAAAAAUCUGGUAUGGCCUGGUUUAAGGUUAUCAGUCAUAAUUCUAGGUGUUAUCUUAGGAUGUUGUAUGUCACAGAAAUAUCCAAGUUUCUUGUCAGUUACAUUAUAAUCAAUCAGAUCUUUAACCAUGCCAUUUUAAGUCCUGUUGUUUAUACACAAUCAUUGUUUUACUCUGAUGCUUUUAUAUAUGAAGAUCUUAGUGAAGAUUCAUAAAAAGGACUUUUGAUAAAUACAAGUUUCUGGUAACUUUUAGAUCUUACUCCUGAACUGGGUAAGAAAUUAAAAAACACUAAUGGAAAACCUGACAACUUCAUCUAGAUGAACAGGAAUUAAUUACAUGGACUGAAUGAAUUGAUGAAUAUGACUUAUAAUUUUAUGACUUUUUUCUGAAAUAUACUGGUUUUUAAUCUCUGUUUUCCAGAAAACCUUUCCUCUUAUGCUAACUAUGACCUUCAACAAGUUGAUAAAGUAUACCUUUGUAAACGAAGACAAAACAUUUAUCUUUUUCUCUCUACCUGAUCCCUCCAGAAUUUGGCUUCUCUAGCUGGCUCUCCCCUGUGGACUUGAUGGCUUAUUUUGACCAGAUUACAACUAGUUAUACUAAUCACUGUUUUAGUUUGUUCUCUCUUGGCAUUUUCAAAUUAUUUAUGCCUUGUGCCUCUCUCUGCUGCACUAUCAGUUUAUUAAUGUUACUAGCUGUAUUACUUAUAUCCUGUUUUAUGAGAUUAUUAUCUCUUACAUUACCAAAGUGUAACCAAGCCUCCAGCAAAAUUAAUGAUGUCUCGAGUUAGUUGAUCAUAUACAUAACUCUACAUAGAAUAGUUGUAAUAGUGCAAUUCUAGAUCUGGGAAGAAGCAACAAGGGAAAACAUUUCCUGGAUCACAACAGACUAAUAAGACAGGUGAUCCAGAGAAUUUUAGAUUAUCAACAGGGUCUAAUCCAAAACAAAUCAGCACAUUGAGUGGCCUGUCAGCAGAAUCUUCGCCUGAUCAAGGGAUGAGCCUUCCUAGCCCUGAGGGACAAAAUUGGUCAUGAAAUGCCUCCCAAACAUUGGUUGAAUUUAUGGCCAAGAGGAAGCACUGUGAGCAAAGAAUGUCACCUGCCAUAUCAGUAAACAAGCCAUCAAGCCAUCAACCUCUGCAGCCACCACCAAUGGUGCAGCCUGAGGGGAUUCAGGAUGGAGAAAAACAGGAUACUGGCUCUAGAUAGUUAAGGUGCAUAUUAAAGGAAUGAUUUCAAUGAGCCAAGGGCCUUGCAUCUUCCCAUACAUAGAAAAGCACUAAAUUCAUUAACUGUAGAUGUCUGUUUUUUCAUUAAUUAGCAGCAAUCUUGUGAUGUUCGACUUCCUGAUUUUAUUUUUGCAAAAACUCCUACAUAUUCCUGGCUCCUCCCUUACCUCUUUGGAACACUCUCUCAGACCUAUCUGAGAGGUUGUCUCCUGGGCUUAGGUCCUCGGUAUGUCUGCUGAAUAAAACAUAAUUCUCAA
This is a long non-coding RNA of Balaenoptera acutorostrata (minke whale), 3932 nucleotides long. RefSeq lists it as uncharacterized. The record is from RefSeq and is a predicted model, not a curated record. NCBI's taxonomy places the organism in Eukaryota, Metazoa, Chordata, Mammalia, Artiodactyla, Balaenopteridae. The transcript is spliced from 16 exons.